Molecule: long non-coding RNA, 953 nt
Organism: Cimex lectularius (bed bug)
Lineage: Eukaryota; Metazoa; Arthropoda; Insecta; Hemiptera; Cimicidae
Exons: 3
Source: RefSeq, a predicted model, not a curated record
UCCUCGAUGAAAAUUACGUGCGAGAUACCCGCCGUCGGUUUUGUUGAUAUCGUCGUUUAUCGCAGUAGGCAUUUUAUGAUCGCACUUUGGUGGGGGAUUGCGAGCCCUGUUAUCGUCACGGAGGUCUGACCUUAAUAAAAUCCCAUCUCAGUUAUUCCGGCAAACAGUAAUGGUCGGUCCAUCAUGUCAAUUAUUUUCUUAGCUCUGCUGAUCUUACUUAACUUGCACGCGCGCUUCGGCCCGGCAGACGGCGAGGUGAAGAUCAGAAACACGUACGCCUACAACGUCAUCUCCACUACAGUUCCCACAUUCUUGGGCAGUAUUUUUCAAUUUCCUGACCGGCCUUGCCCGCCCGGCUACAGGAGAGCUGCAGGAAAAUGCAGGAGAAUCUAUGGAGGCAGUUGAAGUUUUAAAAAAGUUCUAUAGUAAAUAAAGCAAACAUUGGAGAUUAGCGUAAGCUCAGGUGUGCAAGCUUUUCAACUUUGGCCAAUGAAAGAGGAACUGGCAUCACAAGAGUCCACCAGGAUCAAUAGCAAAGGAUAAAGGGAGUUAAAAGCUAAGGAAGUGAAGUGAAGACUCACCCAAGCUUGCAGCCGCUUUCUCUAUCACUAUAAUAUUAUAUUAAUGUAUUAUGUAUUUUAUUUCUUGUUAAGUUUGUAAGUUUAUUAUAUAUUAGUUAUUUUGAUAUAUUUUGUUAAAAUUAUUGUAUUGUGAUAUUAAAGAUGUUUGGAUGGUGCUAAGCUUUAAUAUAUUAAUUUUAGCUUAAUAAUAUAUGCAAUUUGUAUAAUAUAUUAUGUUUAAUAAUAUAAGUUAAUACAUAUUAAUUAACACCCUAAAAUAAAAGAUUUUUAGUAUUUUUGUCAUUAUGGUGGAUAAAAACAUUAUAAUUAGUUUAGAUAAAUUGUGUUAUAUUAAAAAAUAUUUUUUAACAAUUCAGAAUUGAUGAUCGAGUC